Molecule: ribosomal RNA, 407 nt
Filed under: Callianopsis goniophthalma
Lineage: Eukaryota; Metazoa; Arthropoda; Malacostraca; Decapoda; Callianopsidae
Description: partial small subunit ribosomal RNA
Source: RNAcentral
AUUUUUAGUAAUAAUCCUAUUAUACCUAAAUAUUACAAGCUUCCUUACUUCAAAUUUUAAGGAUUUGGCGGUAUUUUAACCCUAUUAGAGGAACCUGUCCUAUAAACGAUAUACCACGCAAAAUCUUACCUACUUUUAUAGUUUGUAUACCAUCAUUAUUAGAUAACUCCUUAUAUGAAUAGUUAUUUCAAUAUACAAACGUCUUAUAUAUUAGAUCAAGGUGCAGCCCAUAAGUAGGUUUAGAUGGGUUACAAUAAAACUUAUUUAUACAAAUUUCAAAUUUAAAUAUUUUUUUAAAGAAGGAUUUAAUAGUAACUUUAGUUUAAUAAGCUAAUUUGAUAAUGGAUCUAAACUAAGUACAUAUUGCCCGUCACUUUCAUCCAUAAAUGAAAUAAGUCGUAACAUAG